UACAUAGGGGGCAAGCGUUGUUCGGAAUUACUGGGCGUAAAGGGCGCGUAGGCGGCACAGCAAGUCGGGUGUGAAAGCCCGGGGCUCAACCCCGGAAUGGCUUUCGAAACUGCUGAGCUAGAGUACAGAAGGGGCAACCGGAAUUCCCAGUGUAGCGGUGAAAUGCGUAGAUAUUGGGAAGAACACCUGAGGCGAAGGCGGGUUGCUGGGCUGAUACUGACGCUGAGGCGCGAAAGCCAGGGGAGCAAACGGG
This 253-nucleotide ribosomal RNA is filed under the name uncultured bacterium. Its description in RNAcentral is "partial 16S ribosomal RNA". It matches the Rfam family "Bacterial small subunit ribosomal RNA", at positions 524 to 776 of the family's 1533-position model. The record is from RNAcentral.